CCUACGGGAGGCAGCAGUGAGGAAUAUUGGGCAAUGGGCGCGAGCCUGAACCAGCCAAGUAGCGUGAAGGAUGACGGCCCUACGGGUUGUAAACUCCUUGUAUAAAGGAAUAAAGAGAGGCACGUGUGCCUUUUUGUGUGUACGUUAUGAAUAAGGAACGGCUAACUCCGUGCCGGCAGCCGCGGUAAUACGGAGGAGCCGAGCGUUAUCCGGCUUGAGUGGGUUUACAGGGAGCGUAGUUGGGUUGUUAAGGCAGUUGUGAAAGGUGGCGGCUCAACCGUAAAAUUGCAAGUGAUACGGGCAGUCUUGAGUACAGUUGAGGUCGGCUGAAUUCCUAGUGUAGCGGUGAAAUGCUUAGAUAUCACG
RNAcentral lists this ribosomal RNA (366 nucleotides) under uncultured bacterium. RNAcentral describes it as "partial 16S ribosomal RNA". It matches the Rfam family "Bacterial small subunit ribosomal RNA", at positions 338 to 701 of the family's 1533-position model. The record is from RNAcentral.